Molecule: non-coding RNA, 27 nt
Filed under: Bombyx mori (domestic silkworm)
Lineage: Eukaryota; Metazoa; Arthropoda; Insecta; Lepidoptera; Bombycidae
Source: RNAcentral
UGACGCCUAGAUAUUUGACCUUCGAGA